This 124-nucleotide ribosomal RNA is filed under the name Greeneocharis circumscissa. RNAcentral describes it as "5.8S ribosomal RNA". It matches the Rfam family "5.8S ribosomal RNA", at positions 36 to 154 of the family's 154-position model. From Rfam's summary of the family: 5.8S ribosomal RNA (5.8S rRNA) is a component of the large subunit of the eukaryotic ribosome. It is transcribed by RNA polymerase I as part of the 45S precursor that also contains 18S and 28S rRNA. Lineage: Eukaryota; Viridiplantae; Streptophyta; Magnoliopsida; Boraginales; Boraginaceae. The record is from RNAcentral. RNAcentral also lists the same sequence under 1 other name.
AUGAAGAACGUAGCGAAAUGCGAUACUUGGUGUGAAUUGCAGAAUCCCGUGAACCAUCGAGUCUUUGAACGCAAGUUGCGCCUGAGGCCAUUAGGCUAAGGGCACGUCUGCCUGGGCGUCACGC